Molecule: long non-coding RNA, 365 nt
Organism: Acanthopagrus latus (yellowfin seabream)
Lineage: Eukaryota; Metazoa; Chordata; Actinopteri; Spariformes; Sparidae
Exons: 3
Source: RefSeq, a predicted model, not a curated record
CAACAACAGGUGCGUCCGACCAGCGUACGAGGGCAGCACAAGACGGCUCUUGAAAUGCAGCAGGGACCAUAAACGGGACAUUGGUAACGACUACAAACACAGGGAACUUCUCCUGUCACCAGCUUACCAGUGGGUCAAACCAGUUGUGGUUUGAUUGGCGACCAGCCCCCCCCCCCAUGGCUCUCUGAAGAGGAACAUCCAAGAAGCCGGGACUUUUGAUUGCACUUAGAAUGGCUCUGCCAUUAAAAAAACAUGGAGUCUUGGCUGUGAAUCCUUCACUCUGUUUAAACAUCAUCUGGCUUCAGUGGAGAUGUGGAACAAGCACACACUUAUAAAAGACUCAUAAGACUGGGGUGCCUUGGGAG